ACUCCUACGGGAGGCAGCAGUGGGGAAUAUUGCACAAUGGGCGCAAGCCUGAUGCAGCCAUGCCGCGUGUAUGAAGAAGGCCUUCGGGUUGUAAAGUACUUUCAGCGAGGAGGAAGGCAUUGUGAUUAAUAACCGCAGUGAUUGACGUUACUCGCAGAAGAAGCACUGGCUAACUCCGUGCCAGCAGCCGCGGUAAU
Molecule: ribosomal RNA, 197 nt
Filed under: uncultured bacterium
Lineage: Bacteria
Description: partial 16S ribosomal RNA
Rfam family: Bacterial small subunit ribosomal RNA
Source: RNAcentral